This 255-nucleotide ribosomal RNA is filed under the name uncultured bacterium. RNAcentral describes it as "partial 16S ribosomal RNA". It matches the Rfam family "Bacterial small subunit ribosomal RNA", at positions 524 to 776 of the family's 1533-position model. The record is from RNAcentral.
UACAGAGGCCCCAAGCGUUAUCCGGAAUCACUGGGCGUAAAGGGUGUGUAGGCGGUUGUGUUAGUCCUUCGUGGAAGCUUUCUGGCUUAACCAGAAAAACGCGGCGGAAACGGCACAACUUAGAGGUUGCGAGAGGUAUACGGAACUCAUAGUGUAGGGGUGAAAUCCGUUGAUAUUAUGGGGAACACCAAAUGCGAAGGCAGUAUACUGGCGCACACCUGACGCUGAGACACGAAAGCGUGGGAAUCGAACGGG